RNAcentral lists this small nucleolar RNA (154 nucleotides) under Musa acuminata subsp. malaccensis (wild Malaysian banana). RNAcentral's name for it is "small nucleolar RNA snoR134". It matches the Rfam family "small nucleolar RNA snoR134". Lineage: Eukaryota; Viridiplantae; Streptophyta; Magnoliopsida; Zingiberales; Musaceae. The record is from Rfam by way of RNAcentral.
CCGCAUGGUGCUACCCCGGGCUCCUCUGAGGAGCUCCGCUCCCUGGUGACGACGCGAGCCCCAAUGCCCGUGCAAGAUCGAUUAGGCCGCGCUGUGUUGCAGAUCGGUUCGCGAUCUCCAUCGGCUGAUCUGUGUCAAUGCGUUGGCUAAAUAA